RNAcentral lists this non-coding RNA (29 nucleotides) under Homo sapiens (human). The record is from RNAcentral. Lineage: Eukaryota; Metazoa; Chordata; Mammalia; Primates; Hominidae.
UGGACCUGUCUGUGCGUUCUCCUGCGUGG